Molecule: ribosomal RNA, 398 nt
Filed under: Eimeria bovis
Lineage: Eukaryota; Apicomplexa; Conoidasida; Eucoccidiorida; Eimeriidae
Description: SSU rRNA
Rfam family: Eukaryotic small subunit ribosomal RNA
Source: RNAcentral
UUUAUAUGCUCUGUAAUUGGAAUGAUGGGAAUGUAAAACCCUUCCAGAGUAACAAUUGGAGGGCAAGUCUGGUGCCAGCAGCCGCGGUAAUUCCAGCUCCAAUAGUGUAUAUUAGAGUUGUUGCAGUUAAAAAGCUCGUAGUUGGAUUUCUGCUGUGGUCAUCCGGUACCGCCCGUAUGGGUGCGCACCUGGUUUGGCUCCGUCUUUCUUCCUGUAGCCGUCCGCGCUUAAUUGCGUGUACUGUGUUACGGAACUUUUACUUUGAGAAAAAUAGAGUGUUUCAAGCAGGCUUGUCGCCCUGAAUACUUCAGCAUGGAAUAAUAGGAUAGGACCUUGGUUCUAUUUUGUUGGUUUCUAGGACCAAGGUAAUGAUUAAUAGGGACAGUGGGGGGGGCAUA